UGCGGGGUAGUAGCAGUGGAAGCUCGCCAGUUUCAUAGGCUGGAGGUCCUGGGUUCGAACCCCAGUCCCGCUAUCAA
This 77-nucleotide transfer RNA is filed under the name Caudoviricetes sp. RNAcentral describes it as "tRNA-Met". It matches the Rfam family "tRNA". From Rfam's summary of the family: Transfer RNA (tRNA) molecules are approximately 80 nucleotides in length. Lineage: Duplodnaviria; Heunggongvirae; Uroviricota; Caudoviricetes. The record is from RNAcentral.